GCUGUGAAGAGGUAGAAAGAGAGACCUUAAGAGCGCUAGGAAUGGGAACAUGUAGAAAAGCCAAACUUAUUCGUUUUCACCCGCGCCGAAGGUGCAAACAUUAUGUUUGGUAUUUUUCUGAUGCCUCCCAUUCCUAUGGUUCUUGAGCACUCCUUCCUCUUCAUUUUGGCA
Molecule: microRNA precursor, 171 nt
Filed under: Triticum aestivum (bread wheat)
Lineage: Eukaryota; Viridiplantae; Streptophyta; Magnoliopsida; Poales; Poaceae
Also listed under: 1 other name
Description: MIR2118 microRNA precursor family
Rfam family: MIR2118 microRNA precursor family
Source: Rfam by way of RNAcentral